CUUACCAGGUCAAGACAUGGGCGUGAUUGACAGGCUAAUGACUUUUCUCGAUUCCAUGGAUGGUGGUGCAUGGUCGCACUUAGUUGGUGCAGUGAUUUGUCAGGUUUAUUCCGGUAACGAACGAGACCUCGGCCUUGUAAAUAGCUAUGCUGCUUACAGGGACAUUGGCGGCUACGCCAAGGAAGCUCGAGGCAAUUGCAGAUCUGGAAUGCCCUUAGAUGUCCUGGGUCGCACGCGUGCUACAAUGACGCCACGAACGAGCUUGCGUGAUGAAAGUUACGCAUAAUCAGCAGUCGGCGUCUUAAGGGAUAGUCUCUUGUAACUGUGGGACUCCAACUAGGAAUGUCUCGUAAGCACAAGUCAACAUCUUGUGUUGAUUACGUCCCUGCUCUUUGUACACACCGCCCGUCGCUCCUACCGAUCGAGUGUUUAGGUGAAUUUGAUGGACGUAAGGAAGUCAAAUAAACUUGAGCUCUAGAGGAAGGAGAAGUCAACCUGGC
Molecule: ribosomal RNA, 500 nt
Filed under: uncultured Myrionecta
Lineage: Eukaryota; Ciliophora; Litostomatea; Cyclotrichida; Mesodiniidae
Description: bacterial SSU rRNA
Rfam family: Eukaryotic small subunit ribosomal RNA
Source: RNAcentral